AUUGUUAACGGUUCUAACCGUCACGUUUCCCUCUCCUCAGACCUCCCGCUGAGGGAGAGCGAGACGGGGCUUUCCUGGAGGCUGAGGCUGGUCCCGGUCUCGCCAGAAGAGGCAGCCCGCGUACAGCGCCUAGCUCUGCCACUCGCCCCACCAUCCGAGGCCUGCCUGGGCCCACAAUGCUCCCCCAAAGUUACAGCCCCUUGGUUGCUAAAUUUUUGUUUAUGCUGAGAUCUUGUAUACUGAACUCCUGACAUCACCAAAGCAAGAGUCUGUCCACAUGGCAAAAGGUUGCUGGUCAAUGUCACUGGUCAUAGGUUUCUAAAGAGAGGGCCUGCAGGUUAAGUGGUUGGUAUACAGAGGGUAAUGUACCUGGGUCCUGCUCUAAGAAUCACAAGAUGACUGACACAGGAACCGACAAGAGGCCAAACACCUGAAUUGGGUGCAUUCAGGGACCAGAAAGGCAUAGAGAUGCAGGUAGCCCCAUAACUACUGAAAUAUGGAUAUUUAAGAUCUGAAAAUAAGGAUUUCAGAGUUGUGGAUCAAAAGAUAAAAGAGCUCAUUUAUGUCAAGUCUCCACUUCCCAGGCAUUUCUUUGGCUUUCUACCAUGUAAGAGUUAUUGGAAUUUGUAAAUGGGUGUUAUGGAUAAAAUGUAAUGAAUAGGCCUGAGUUCUGUCAUAUGAAACAAAACUAAACAUGCUGGAUUACACUUACAAGUUAGCAACAAAAAUACUGCAAGC
Molecule: long non-coding RNA, 738 nt
Organism: Mauremys mutica (yellowpond turtle)
Lineage: Eukaryota; Metazoa; Chordata; Testudines; Geoemydidae
Exons: 4
Source: RefSeq, a predicted model, not a curated record